Molecule: long non-coding RNA, 2335 nt
Organism: Oncorhynchus keta (chum salmon)
Lineage: Eukaryota; Metazoa; Chordata; Actinopteri; Salmoniformes; Salmonidae
Exons: 9
Source: RefSeq, a predicted model, not a curated record
UGGGCCUGGAGCCCAAUGAGAGACAGGAUGGCUGAGCAGAAAGUUAGGUAACCCCCAUUACAAUAUAUCUCUUCACCUAGAACCUGGAGGAUUCAAUCUAACAAUAAUGUGAAAGGAGGAAACAUUUUGUGUUGCCCUAUGCCAGCAUUUCCAUUUACAAAGUGUUUAUGUCUGUGUUUUUCCAUGUCUGUGUGUGGGUGUGUGUCUGUUUGUGUGUGUGCCUGUGUCACUUGGGCUGCUUGCGUGGGUGUAUGUGCGUGUUUCCCUCCUCCGUAGCCUCCCUGCUAAGCUGAUUAAUGGGGGCGUGACAGGGCUGGUGGGUGUGAGCUGUGUGUUUCGUAAUGAUCGGGCCAAGACCCUCCGACAGAACCAGCAGGGUGCCCGGAGUCCACACCGGAAUGAGACUGAAAAUAUUUGGCAUGGGUCCCCAGAUCCUCAAAAGUUUCUACAGCUGCACCAUUAAGAGCAUCCUGACCGGUUGCAUCACUGCUCGACAUCUGACCAUCAGGCGCUACAGAGGCUGGACUGUUUGACGAAGACAGUAAAGAUGGAAGGCUACUUUGGGAUGUAUAGAGGUGCAGCUGUGAAUCUCACUCUUGUCACACCAGAGAAUGCCAUUAAACUGGCAGCAAAUAAUAUCUUCAGACAGAAGCUCUCCAAGGACGGGAAACUAACUUUUUGUCCUAGCACAGCACUUACACUUUUAACUAUUUAACUGAAACAUAAAUUUACAUACCUUAGAGUACUUUUUUAUCCAUCAAGUUAACAUAACAUUCAUGUAAUAAAGUCAGACGAACUAAGGUGCUAUUGCUACAGUAAACUGUCUCAUUUUAUCAGGGGUGAUGCCAUUAUUGUUAUUAUUGCUAUGUGUCUAUUUAUUAGUCUGUUAACCCUGUCAUUUGGCCCACAGGAAGUUGCCCCUGUGGGGGGAGAUACUGGCAGGAUGUGGGGCGGGGACCUGCCAGAUGAUAGUGACCACACCCAUAGAGAUGCUCAAGAUCCAUUUGCAGGACGCAGGAAGCUGACAUAAGCAGAGUGGUCCAAGCACACACUGCAGCUUCUGGUCCAGCUCCUGGUCCAUCUCCUCCAGCCCAGCCUGCCCCUCCACCUCACACCCCUGCCGUCCGUAUUACCCUGGAGCUACUGAAGACACACGGCCUGCCAGGCCUCUACCAGGGAGCAGGAGCCACACUGAUGAGGGAUUUUCCUUUCUCUAUGAUCUACUUCCCGCUGUUCACCAACCUGAACACGCUGUGAAGGGCCGAGUAGUCAUGGAGACUUGCAGGAGCGGGCCCCCUUCCUACAGCCGGAUCAGUGGCAGCUGUAGCUGUCACACCACUUGACGUCAUAAAGACUCGUAUACAGACCUUGCAGAAGGGGGGGACACAUGCCGUGGCAUUGUUGACUGCACACGGAGGAUCUGGAGGAUCUGUGAUCUUCCUGUCUGGGUUGGCGCCCCCCCCCUUGGGUUGUGCCGUGGCGGAGAUCUUUGUGGGCUAUACUCGGCCUUGUCUCAGGAUGAACCUGAGCCAUAGGACCAUGCCUCAGGACUACCUGACAUGAUGACUCUUUGCUGUCCCCAGUCCACCUGGCUGUGCUGCUGCUCCAGUUUCAACUGUUCUGCCUUAUUAUUAUUGGACCAUGCUGGUCAUUUAUGAACAUUUGAACAUCUUGGCCAUGUUCUGUUAUAAUCUCCACCCCGCACAGCCAGAAGAGGACUGGCCACCCCACAUAGCCUGGUUCCUCUCUAGGUUUCUUCCUAGGUUUUGGCCAUUCCAGGGAGUUUUUCCGAGCCACCGUGCUUCUACACCUGCAUUGCUUGCUGUUUGGGGUUUUAGGCUGGGUUUCUGUACAGCACUUUGAGAUAUCAGCUGAUGUACGAAGGGCUAUAAUAAAUACAUUUGAAUUUAAUUAAAGGGUCCAGCAACAUUCCUCAAGGGGGCAACUAGUCGCGCACUGGUCAUCAACCCCCUCUUUGGCACCGCACAGGGGGUCUACUUCCUGGGCGUAGGAGAGCAGUUGCUAGGGCUACUGGGAUAGCAGCAGCAUGUGUCAGUGUCCCUUACAGUACAAAACAUACUGCUUCAUUCAGCAGUGAAUUGAGGGAGAGAUUACUCUCCGUGGUUCUUAUGCAAAGGCUUUGCCAUCACAAAGGAAGUUACCAAGCUAUCAUGGUUUGACAAAAGCACUUUAUAUGUAAGUGACAAAUCCAUCAACAUUUGUUUUUAAACUAUCAAACAUUUUAUUUACUAAUGUUGUAUAAUGCUGACUACACUGCCAUGAGAAGUCUAAAAUGUGUCCGGCAAUUCAAAGCAAUUGGUCCACCUUUCACAGA